This 283-nucleotide ribosomal RNA is filed under the name Limosilactobacillus fermentum. Its description in RNAcentral is "Lactobacillus fermentum partial 16S ribosomal RNA". It matches the Rfam family "Bacterial small subunit ribosomal RNA", at positions 961 to 1245 of the family's 1533-position model. Lineage: Bacteria; Bacillati; Bacillota; Bacilli; Lactobacillales; Lactobacillaceae. The record is from RNAcentral.
GCGAAGAACCUUACCAGGUCUUGACAUCUUGCGCCAACCCUAGAGAUAGGGCGUUUCCUUCGGGAACGCAAUGACAGGUGGUGCAUGGUCGUCGUCAGCUCGUGUCGUGAGAUGUUGGGUUAAGUCCCGCAACGAGCGCAACCCUUGUUACUAGUUGCCAGCAUUAAGUUGGGCACUCUAGUGAGACUGCCGGUGACAAACCGGAGGAAGGUGGGGACGACGUCAGAUCAUCAUGCCCCUUAUGACCUGGGCUACACACGUGCUACAAUGGACGGUACAACGA